GAGUUUGAUCGUGGCUCAGAUUGAACGCUGGCGGCAGGCCUAACACAUGCAAGUCGGGCGGUAGAGAGAAGCUUGCUUCUCUUGAGAGCGGCGGACGGGUGAGUAAUGCCUAGGAAUCUGCCUGGUAGUGGGGGAUAACGCUCGGAAACGGACGCUAAUACCGCAUACGUCCUACGGGAGAAAGCAGGGGACCUUCGGGCCUUGCGCUAUCAGAUGAGCCUAGGUCGGAUUAGCUAGUUGGUGAGGUAAUGGCUCACCAAGGCGACGAUCCGUAACUGGUCUGAGAGGAUGAUCAGUCACACUGGAACUGAGACACGGUCCAGACUCCUACGGGAGGCAGCAGUGGGGAAUAUUGGACAAUGGGCGAAAGCCUGAUCCAGCCAUGCCGCGUGUGUGAAGAAGGUCUUCGGAUUGUAAAGCACUUUAAGUUGGGAGGAAGGGCAGUAAAUUAAUACUUUGCUGUUUUGACGUUACCGACAGAAUAAGCACCGGCUAACUCUGUGCCAGCAG
This 510-nucleotide ribosomal RNA is filed under the name uncultured bacterium. RNAcentral describes it as "bacterial SSU rRNA". It matches the Rfam family "Bacterial small subunit ribosomal RNA", at positions 9 to 514 of the family's 1533-position model. The record is from RNAcentral.